CACGGAGAGGGUCAGCCCAAACACAAAAGCCGACCGAUUUGAAUGUCAAUGACUGCCACUUGGUGUACGUAAAAACGCCCAUAAUACACCACCCAGUCGACAAUAGAGCAGUGGAAUGCGGCAUCCUGCCUCGCACGACGCAGAGGUUGGUGAUAGUACACGCGAUGAAGGUGGGAGAGGGGGGGCUGGCCACGGCGUGCUGGACCAUCAUUCACUUGUUGAAACCGCAAGAUAGAAGCGGCCCCAAAGCCUCCUUCGGUACACACUUUAUGGGAGGCGCUCAUCCGUGCGAAUUAAAAGGCGGUUCCUGCGACCUGAGUCGGCAUUCGCGAGGUAGAAAUGGAGACCGCCUGACGAUGGUGAACUUCGGAAUGAAUGUGACGACGAUCGUAUCUCCAAACGACCUGCGCUGAUACCAUCACCAACCCGGCUCCACCGCGUGUGAGGCACGGCGGGAGAUCGACCGACCAUGACGGCCUGCUAGCGGCAUGGCAUGCACGGGUAGUGUUCUCACGACAGAACACAGUGAGUUCUGCUGGUACUAUAGUGGCGAGACUUCAAGGGAGGACAGGUUAGACGCACUUGGCUGAACGAACGAGUGUGGAGAAGGCAAGAUGUUGGCAUAGCUGUGUGAUACCAAUUUUUUCAGCUGUGCUCACAUACUGCCAUUUAUGCACUUGAAAGAAUCAACCACGAAGUCUCCCGACUGAUGGCCGCAUCAUCUUACGCUCAAACAUUGAUUCUGGGUUCACGCUUGGUUCAUUUUGAAGUUUGGUUGUGCUCAUUUGCGUGUGUUACGAGCUAUUUAGGAGGUACAACUGUUCUAUAUUAAACAGAAAAUACAAUUUUAUUGUGAGCGGAAGCCCGGGGAACAAUGUUGUUUAUUUGUGAAAUAACAAGUACGUUUGAAGUUCAGUACAAGCCGGCACUUUUCGCUAGGCCUACAAAUGUAUGUUUGAAUAGUUAAUGUAUGUUGGUAUAGCAUAACAGUGGCUAUUUUACUGGUGUAAAUAAUGAAUACAAUAUCCUCUGAAAUAUUUAAAAAAUUGACCCGCUUGCAGACCUAUCCUCCUAUCAAAUGGUUUAACUUGUCCUUGAACUCGUCAAAAGAAAGUCCCAGCUUGAAUUCGAUAUACUCCAGCUUUUUGAGGGCAUUUGCAUGAAAGGACACCGCCCACAACGGAGGUAUUACGUUUGAGUUGUUGUGACAAUGCAUGAACCAAUUCAAUAGCCUCGAAAGAUACUUCCGUGGUCCUUGAAUAAAUGCAUGUGAACAAUGUUCAGGAUUGUCGAUGGCUUCUCAGUAAAAAGACUUUAGCUUGAUUCACUGAACAACUUUCUGAUAUCCCAACUUUGAAAUGUCAUCGAUUUCAUAAAAAAUCAAACCUAUAUGAUUGGGCUUAUUGUCAGCAAUACUGGGAGAACUUCUUUAUGAGCGAAAAGUAUCUACUGAAAGGAUACUUUUAAGCCAUGUGAACUAUGUUUUGAAGACUUAAAGAAAUUUCAAAGACUUCGUGACUUAACAACUAGGGGACUCUAAUCCAUGUAACUUCACGGGUGAAGUACAUGCGUGUUGACCUAAACUAUUAUGACAAGGGCAAUCCAUUGUUAAACAAAA
Acanthaster planci (crown-of-thorns starfish) is the source of this 1618-nucleotide long non-coding RNA. Lineage: Eukaryota; Metazoa; Echinodermata; Asteroidea; Valvatida; Acanthasteridae. The record is from RefSeq and is a predicted model, not a curated record.